GCCAGCAUGGUGUAGUGGUUUGAUCAUUGGACUAUGAUCCUGGAGACCAGGGUUCAAAUCCCUGCUUGGUCA
RNAcentral lists this transfer RNA (72 nucleotides) under Phrynosoma platyrhinos (Desert horned lizard). Its description in RNAcentral is "tRNA-OTHER". The record is from RNAcentral. Lineage: Eukaryota; Metazoa; Chordata; Lepidosauria; Squamata; Phrynosomatidae.